This is a non-coding RNA of Bacillus cereus Rock3-44, 338 nucleotides long. NCBI's taxonomy places the organism in Bacteria, Bacillati, Bacillota, Bacilli, Caryophanales, Bacillaceae. The record is from Rfam.
UUUGAUAAUAUGUGAAUUUUUAUUUUCGUUGAAAUAAGACGGAUCAUAUUGUAAUUUAUUUUUCUUAUUUUUAGGAGGCAUUUACCAUGACAUUAACAGGUAAAGUAAAAUGGUUUAACAGCGAAAAAGGUUUCGGUUUCAUCGAAGUUGAAGACGGUAACGAUGUAUUCGUUCACUUCUCUGCUAUCACUGGCGACGGUUUCAAAUCUCUUGACGAAGGUCAAGAAGUUAGCUUCGAAGUUGAAGACGGCAACCGCGGACCUCAAGCUAAAAACGUUGUAAAGCUAUAAUUUAAACAAUAAAAAGGUUGUUACCAUCGCACGGUUAACAACCUUUUU